This 164-nucleotide ribosomal RNA is filed under the name Glehnia littoralis. RNAcentral's name for it is "5.8S ribosomal RNA". It matches the Rfam family "5.8S ribosomal RNA". Rfam says of the family: 5.8S ribosomal RNA (5.8S rRNA) is a component of the large subunit of the eukaryotic ribosome. The record is from RNAcentral. Lineage: Eukaryota; Viridiplantae; Streptophyta; Magnoliopsida; Apiales; Apiaceae.
AACGACUCUCGACAACGGAUAUCUCGGCUCUCGCAUCGAUGAAGAACGUAGCGAAAUGCGAUACUUGGUGUGAAUUGCAGAAUCCCGUGAACCAUCGAGUCUUUGAACGCAAGUUGCGCCCGAAGCCACUAGGCUGAGGGCACGCCUGCCUGGGUGUCACGCAU